Molecule: long non-coding RNA, 3085 nt
Organism: Canis lupus familiaris (dog)
Lineage: Eukaryota; Metazoa; Chordata; Mammalia; Carnivora; Canidae
Exons: 4
Source: RefSeq, a predicted model, not a curated record
GAAAGGAGCUCCUUGCUUGCCUCCAUAUGCUCAAAACCAGUUCUGACUGGCAGUGGUCCACCUAAGCAACUGAGAAACUCCAUGUUCCAUUUCUUGGUUCUAUACAGGGCAAUCACAGUCAUUUUGCAUAAAUUCAAGAAGAAUCUGUUCUCCUUAUAACACAUCAUUGGAAAUACUGAUUAUAUUACCAAGGCUUUGACUGGAAUGUCACAUUUGAGAGAGACAUACAUAGACUCAGAUAUAACCAGACAGCUUUAAGAAACUAAGGUUGACUUUAUGAAGCAUUAGGCCAAUAAAACUCCUUGGAAGUGUUGGCCUGAUACCUUUCCCAGCAGCAUUACUAGACUCCUUCACUGCCAUAACUUCCAGCUGACAGACGAUCCUUUCUACUCAAGGAGGUUCAUACAUGUUGUCUACUUUGGAUUGGCUGCUUCUACCUUUGGUAACUCCAUUAUAUUAAUUCUCCAUGUAAGGUGCCUAAGUGGCUCAGUCAGAUAUUAUAAAAGAAGAUUAAAUUGGACCAUCUUAAAUAUUCGUGUUGAGAAUCACAUGUGUGAUGUUAUUAAUUAAGUGUCUUGAACUGAUUUUAAGCACCAAGGCCUCAAGAAAAGUACACAGACCUCCUCAUUGGUCAGAGCUGGAUACUUGACUAGUUUGCCAGGGUCAAAACCAGGGUAUCAAACAGGAUUCAACCAAGCAUGUUUGCUGGGGUCAGAGGAUCAACCCACUUAUUCACUGCAGCUGAAACAUGACGAGAGAUUCUGGCACGGACUCAACCUACCUGACCACGAAAGGUUCUAAUCAGGGAAUUCCCCUGGCAUGUUUCCUAAGGGCUGAGGAAACAAAGGCAUAUGUGCCAAUCCACUGGGACUGGGGACAUGACCACAGACUCACCCAGCAGAUUUGCUGAGCCAGAGGCUCCCUCUCAAUGUUCACCAGUGCUGGGGCAAGGAGGAUGGCCUCCAUGGUCAGGAGGUACAUUACAUGUAAGAAUUCUGAGUGAAUAUACUGUACUGAAGGUGAGUGGGAAGCCAGCUUUCUUCCCGUUGGGAAAGGGAGCUACAAAUACGGACAGAGAAAAAACACAAAUUCUACGAUGUUGGACUGGAAAUGAAGAUAUCUAUCUGUAUAUGGAUAGACUGGGGGUGGGGGGUAGGGCAGGAGAGGGAUUUCUUUUCUAGUAUUCUCACCAAAACCUAAAUCUAAAUCUAAUAAUUAUGAGGAAAUAGACAAACCUAACAUGAGGGCUUUUGGAGAACAAAUGGCUGUCCUAUUCAAAAAUACGAAGGUCAGGAAAGGUAAGGAAAAACUAAGGAACUAUUCCAGGUUCAGAAACUGAAUAGACCUGACACCUAAAUGCAAUGACAUAAUGUUAGUUUCCUGAUUAUACUGUGCGUAUAUAGGACAGUAUUACUGUUUUUGGCAAACACGCACCAAAGUACAAGGGCAUCACAUCAGCAACUUAAUCUCAAAAUGUUUCAGAAAAAAAGACGUAUGUGUGCAUGCACCCAGAGGGAGAAAAUCAAACAGCAGAUUUAGUAAAAUGUUAACUGUGGAAGUGUAUGAAAGGAAUAGAAUUCUGUAACUUUACUGUCACUUCAAAAUUAUAUCAAUAUAUAUUAAACUGUAUAUUAGCAAACUAGAAUUUAAAUAAAAACAGAAAGAAAAUUUUUAAAGCAAAAAAAACUUUAAAGUAUAUAGAUUAAGGUCAAGGCAAGAUUCAGAGCUCAACUACAAGGUUAUGUAUUAUUUUUACAUCAGAGUCUGUUUCCUAGCCUACUAUAAAAUAAUUUAUAAUUAAUAACUCAAAAUAAUAAAUCUAUCCAAAGUCCAUGCAAGUCCAUUCAGUAUCCACUUAAAAUUUUUUCACAGUACAUUAAAAGAAAAACUGUAUUUUAUAACUAGCAUCAGACUCAUUCCUCAAGGAAGCAAUUUCAAACCAUCAGAGGGACUGUAGGAUUCUUACAAAUCAGUCUGUUAACAUUUAUCCAGCAACAACAGGCAGAACUGAAGAUAUGUCACUUUCCCUUAACUCACCAUGUGCAGAUGGAGAGAUUUACUAGGGUCGAGCACGCUAGAAUCAAUUAACAUUAACAAUUUCCUCCGAAUGUCAGCUGCUCUAAAUGACACAGUGCUGGUCUGAGCAGUAGUUACACACACACACAAGAACUUGAGCAUGUCUAAGAAAAGCAGAUCUUGCUUUGACAGAUGUUCUUCAGCUAAAGGAUUCAUGGCACCUAAAAAUAAAAAGCACUUAUUAAAACUAAGAAAGGGAUGCAGCAAACACAUAUAUUGAAUAUUAGCUCAAAUAUCCUCUGAUCUACCAAAAAAGAGAAGUUAUCCUAGGAUUCUGUCAUCAAGAAAUAAUCUAUGGGAAAAUUUAUACAAACAAACUUAUUGCAAUACUGAUAAUUAUAGAGAAAUAAAACGGAGUCUAAAUUUCUGGCAAAAAAAAUGGUAAACUGAACUAUGAUAAAUAUGUUAAUUGGGAUAUUAUGAAGUCAUUACAAAGGAUAAUUAUCAAUACAAUAACUGAAUGAGAAAAUGCUAUAAUUGUUAAAAGAAAAUGAACAAGCCAUAAAAAAGCAUUUGAAUGUUGAUGCUGAUUGUAAUAACAGAUAAAGACUAACAGUGAUGGCCCUAUGAGUAUUUUCAUUCUCCUGCUUUCUGUUUUCCAAAUAAUCCAUGAUAUGGUUCUAUAUUUUUAGUAAAUAUGUUGAACUCCUGUCAUGAAGAAUAAAACAACUAAUAAAAUUCAAUCAAAAAUCAGAGAAAUCUAAAGUAUACAGAAAAGAACAAACAUAAUAGACUAUACAAGGGAAAAUAAAAUGAGCAUAAUAUUGGUAUCUAUGAGGCCUUUUAUAAUGCCAAGUCAUUACAGAAAGGUAAAAGAAAUCCCAAGCAGGAAAUAUGUAUUUACCAAUAGUACUCUGGCCCUCUCCAGAUACAUUUGCAUCACUAGCACUGCCAGCAGGGGAAUCACUGAAUAGAUUCAUGGAUGACUGAUCUUCCAUCUCCAUCAGAUUGUCAUCAGUAUCGUCUUCCAUUGAUUCUACUUCUCCAAAGUCAAAUGGCUUUCUGAUAA